Molecule: ribosomal RNA, 253 nt
Filed under: uncultured bacterium
Lineage: Bacteria
Description: partial 16S ribosomal RNA
Rfam family: Bacterial small subunit ribosomal RNA
Source: RNAcentral
UACAGAGGUGGCAAGCGUUGUCCGGAAUCAUUGGGCGUAAAGCGCGUGUAGGCGGUCCGGUAAGUCCGCUGUGAAAGUCGAGGGCUCAACCCUCGAAUGCCGGUGGAUACUGUCGGGCUUGAGUACGGGAGAGGCGAGUGGAAUUCCUGGUGUAGCGGUGAAAUGCGCAGAUAUCAGGAGGAACACCGAUUGCGAAGGCAGCUCGCUGGAACGUUACUGACGCUGAGACGCGAAAGCGUGGGGAGCAAACAGG